GACGAACGCUGGCGGCAUGCCUAACACAUGCAAGUCGAACGAGACCUUCGGGUCUAGUGGCGCACGGGUGCGUAACGCGUGGGAACCUGCCCUUAGGUUCGGAAUAACUCCCCGAAAGGGGUGCUAAUACCGGAUAAUGUCUUCGGACCAAAGAUUUAUCGCCUUUGGAUGUGCCCGCGUUGGAUUAGCUAGUUGGUAGGGUAAAAGCCUACCAAGGCGACGAUCCAUAGCUGGUCUGAGAGGAUGAUCAGCCACACUGGGACUGAGACACGGCCCAGACUCCUACGGGAGGCAGCAGUGGGGAAUAUUGGACAAUGGGCGAAAGCCUGAUCCAGCAAUGCCGGGUGAGUGAUGAAGGCCUUAGGGUUGUAAAGCUCUUUUACCCGGGAUGAUAAUGACAGUACCGGGAGAAUAAGCCCCGGCUAACUCCGUG
This 433-nucleotide ribosomal RNA is filed under the name uncultured bacterium. RNAcentral describes it as "partial 16S ribosomal RNA". It matches the Rfam family "Bacterial small subunit ribosomal RNA", at positions 28 to 507 of the family's 1533-position model. The record is from RNAcentral.